Molecule: ribosomal RNA, 434 nt
Filed under: uncultured soil bacterium
Lineage: Bacteria
Description: bacterial SSU rRNA
Rfam family: Bacterial small subunit ribosomal RNA
Source: RNAcentral
GGGACGAACGCUGGCGGCGUGCUUAACACAUGCAAGUCGAGCGGUAAGGCCCUUUCGGGGGUACACGAGCGGCGAACGGGUGAGUAACACGUGAGUAAUCUGCCCUCCACUUGGGGAUAAGCUUCGGAAACGGGGUCUAAUACCUGAUACGACAACUACCUGCAUGGGUUGGUUGUGGAAAGUUUUUUCGGUGGGGGAUGUGCUCGCGGCCUAUCAGCUUGUUGGUGGGUAAUGGCCUACCAAGGCUUCGACGGGUAGCCGGCCUGAGAGGGUGACCGGCCACACUGGGACUGAGACACGGCCCAGACUCCGUACGGGAGCAGCGAGUGGGGAAUAGUUGGACAAGUGGGCGAAGCCUGAUCCAGCAGCGCCGCGUGGAGGAUCGGACGGUCCGUUCGGUUCGUAACCUCUUCAGUACCGACGAGCGCCGUGGU